AACGAACGCUGGCGGCAUGCCUAACACAUGCAAGUCGAACGAGACCUUCGUGUUUAGUGGCGCAGGGGUGCGUAACGCGUGGGAACCUGCCCUUAGGUUCGGAAUCACUCCCCUUAAGGGGUCCUCAUACCGGUUAAUCUCUUCGGACCUAAGAUUUAUCGCCUUUGGAUGGGCCCGCGUUGGAUUAGCUAGUUGGUAGGGUAAAAGCCUACCAAGGCGACGAUGCAUAGCUGGUCGGAGAGGAUGAUCAGCCACACUGGGACUGAGACACGGCCCAGACUCGGACGGGAGGGAGCAGUGGGGAAUAUUGGACAAUGGACGAAAGUCUGACCCAGCAAUGCCGCGUGAGUGAUGAAGGGCUUAGGGUUGUAAAGCUCUUUUACACGGGAUGAUAAUGACAGUACCGGGAGAAUAAGCACCGGCUAACUCCGUG
This 433-nucleotide ribosomal RNA is filed under the name uncultured bacterium. RNAcentral's name for it is "partial 16S ribosomal RNA". It matches the Rfam family "Bacterial small subunit ribosomal RNA", at positions 29 to 507 of the family's 1533-position model. The record is from RNAcentral.